GACGAACGCUGGCGGCGUGCUUAACACAUGCAAGUCGAACGGAAAGGCCCUGCUUUUGUGGGCUGCUCGAGUGGCGAACGGGUGAGUAACACGUGAGUAACCUGACCUUGACUUUCGGGUAACUUCAGGAAACUGGGGCUAAUACCGUAUAGCAGCCCACGCUCCGUGGAGGGCGUUGGAACGUUUCGGCGGUUGUGGAUGGAUUCGCGGCUGUUCGGCUAGUUAGUUGGCUAGUGGAUUACCAAGGCUGUGACGGGUACGCGGCCUGUGAGGGUGACCGGGCACAUGGCGACUGAGAUACGGCCCAGACUCGAACGGGAGGCAGCAGUCGCGAGUAUUGCACAAUGGGCGCGAGCCUGAUGCGGCAACGCCGCGUGCGGAAUGACGGCCUUCGGGGUAUGAACCGCUUUCGCCUGUGACGAAGCGUGAGUGACGGUAAUGAGUAAAGAAGCACCGGCUAACUACGUG
RNAcentral lists this ribosomal RNA (468 nucleotides) under uncultured bacterium. RNAcentral describes it as "partial 16S ribosomal RNA". It matches the Rfam family "Bacterial small subunit ribosomal RNA", at positions 28 to 507 of the family's 1533-position model. The record is from RNAcentral.